GAUGAACGCUGGCGGCGUGCCUAAUACAUGCAAGUCGAGCGAACGGACGAGAAGCUUGCUUCUCUGAUGUUAGCGGCGGACGGGUGAGUAACACGUGGAUAACCUACCUAUAAGACUGGGAUAACUUCGGGAAACCGGAGCUAAUACCGGAUGAUAUUUUGAACCGCAUGGUUCAAAAGUGAAAGACGGUCUUGCUGUCACUUAUAGAUGGAUCCGCGCUGCAUUAGCUAGUUGGUAAGGUAACGGCUUACCAAGGCAACGAUGCAUAGCCGACCUGAGAGGGUGAUCGGCCACACUGGAACUGAGACACGGUCCAGACUCCUACGGGAGGCAGCAGUAGGGAAUCUUCCGCAGUGGGCGAAAGCCUGACGGAGCAACGCCGCGUGAGUGAUGAAGGUCUUCGGAUCGUAAAACUCUGUUAUUAGGGAAGAACAUAUGUGUAAGUAACUGUGCACAUCUUGACGGUACCUAAGCAGAAAGCCACGGCUAACUACGU
RNAcentral lists this ribosomal RNA (496 nucleotides) under uncultured bacterium. RNAcentral's name for it is "partial 16S ribosomal RNA". It matches the Rfam family "Bacterial small subunit ribosomal RNA", at positions 28 to 506 of the family's 1533-position model. The record is from RNAcentral.